CCCAGACAGCCAGGAUGUUGGCUUAGAAGCAGCCAUCAUUUAAAGAAAGCGUAAUAGCUCACUGGUCGAGUCGGCCUGCGCGGAAGAUGUAACGGGGCUAAACCAUGCACCGAAGCUGCGGCAGCGACACUGUGUGUUGUUGGGUAGGGGAGCGUUCUGUAAGCCUGCGAAGGUGGCCUGUGAGGGUUGCUGGAGGUAUCAGAAGUGCGAAUGCUGACAUAAGUAACGAUAAAGCGGGUGAAAAGCCCGCUCGCCGGAAGACCAAGGGUUCCUGUCCAACGUUAAUCGGGGCAGG
Molecule: ribosomal RNA, 295 nt
Filed under: Salmonella enterica subsp. enterica serovar Mbandaka
Lineage: Bacteria; Pseudomonadati; Pseudomonadota; Gammaproteobacteria; Enterobacterales; Enterobacteriaceae
Also listed under: 2 other names
Description: partial 23S ribosomal RNA
Rfam family: Bacterial large subunit ribosomal RNA
Source: RNAcentral